UUUUUGAGGAAAAUUUUUUGAAUGAAUACUACAGUAUUCGAGACGAGGUUCAUGAUUUAUUAAAAAGUUUUUCUUGGAUUUGUGGUGGAUAUGGUGUACGAUGGGAACCCUAUCUAUCUUUGUAUGUGACUGUGGCAGCUGAAAGACAAAAUGAUGAAGAUGCCUUAA
Xenia sp. Carnegie-2017 is the source of this 168-nucleotide long non-coding RNA. RefSeq lists it as uncharacterized. The record is from RefSeq and is a predicted model, not a curated record. The transcript is spliced from 2 exons. Lineage: Eukaryota; Metazoa; Cnidaria; Anthozoa; Malacalcyonacea; Xeniidae.